This 582-nucleotide long non-coding RNA is filed under the name Ursus maritimus (polar bear). RNAcentral's name for it is "lncRNA (ENSUMAG00000011060.1)". Lineage: Eukaryota; Metazoa; Chordata; Mammalia; Carnivora; Ursidae. The record is from RNAcentral.
CAGAGGGACAAGACGAUGACCGCUUCCAGCAGUGGCAUCUCUUUGGCCUGGCUGGCUCCCUGGUGACAAGGAGUAGAGACAGAUGUGAAAUUUCAAAGAAGUACUGAUGAUAAUCCGGAGUCGUCCUCCAGGCUGGGUGCUACGCAUCUUGGAUUUCUCAUCUCAUCAUCUCACACCAGUCGCUGGGGUGGGAGCACCUCUGCUCCCCAGAAGACAACUCUGGAGAUGCUCCCGCUGACCUCCUCCUCUGACCUCACAGUCGGGGCCCCCGGGGUCUAUGCAAACUCUGGCCUUUGUUGUUGUUGCCAUUUUACCGCAUUUCUCAUGACUGUCAGUUUCUCUCAAGGCUUUGAAUUGUGAAAUUUGGUCCCUGGAUUCAAACAAUAGUAUUUUCAUUGGUUCCUUGGCGAUACUUUUUGUAGUUUACUUUAUCUUUUUUAGAUUCAGAAGGCUUCACCGACUGUUUUCUAAAUACCCUAUAUCUUGUCUACAUAACUCUAUGUAGUUACUGCCUCCUGAACAGAGUCUCUGUACCACAGAAAUCUCCUUUUUAACUAAAUAAAAAAGGGCACAGCCUUGGCA